CUCCGGUAGGGGUGCCUGCGGAGGGAUCAUUGCUGGAACGCGCCCCAGGCGCACCCAGAAACCCUUUGUGAACUUAUACCUUACUGUUGCCUCGGCGCAUGCUGGCCCCCUCGGGGUCCCUUGGAGACAAGGAGCAGGCACGCCGGCGGCCAAGUUAACUCUUGUUUUUACACUGAAACUCUGAGAAAAAACACAAAUGAAUCAAAACUUUCAACAACGGAUCUCUUGGUUCUGGCAUCGAUGAAGAACGCAGCGAAAUGCGAUAAGUAAUGUGAAUUGCAGAAUUCAGUGAAUCAUCGAAUCUUUGAACGCACAUUGCGCCCUCUGGUAUUCCGGAGGGCAUGCCUGUUCGAGCGUCAUUUCAACCCUCAAGCAUUGCUUGGUGUUGGGGCACUGCCUGUAAAAGGGCAGGCCCUGAAAUCUAGUGGCGAGCUCGCUAGGACCUCGAGCGCAGUAGUUAAACCCUCGCUUUGGAAGGCCCUGGCGGUGCCCUGCCGUUAAACCCCCAACUUUUGAAAAUUUGACCUCGGAUCAGGUAGGAAUACCCGCUGAACUUAAGCAUAUCAAAA
Molecule: ribosomal RNA, 569 nt
Filed under: Diaporthe sp.
Lineage: Eukaryota; Fungi; Ascomycota; Sordariomycetes; Diaporthales; Diaporthaceae
Description: eukaryotic LSU rRNA
Rfam family: 5.8S ribosomal RNA (bases 206-359)
Source: RNAcentral